This 910-nucleotide ribosomal RNA is filed under the name uncultured bacterium. RNAcentral describes it as "bacterial SSU rRNA". It matches the Rfam family "Bacterial small subunit ribosomal RNA", at positions 54 to 963 of the family's 1533-position model. The record is from RNAcentral.
CAUGCAAGUCGAACGAGAAUCUACUGAAAGAGUUUUCGGACGAUGGAAGUAGAGGAAAGUGGCGGACGGGUGAGUAACGCGUGAGGAACCUGCCUUGAAGAGGGGGACAACAGUUGGAAACGACUGCUAAUACCGCAUGAAGCAUAGGGGUCGCAUGAUUCUUAUGCCAAAGAUUUAUCGCUUCAAGAUGGCCUCGCGUCUGAUUAGCUAGUUGGCGGGGUAACGGCCCACCAAGGCGACGAUCAGUAGCCGGACUGAGAGGUUGAACGGCCACAUUGGGACUGAGAUACGGCCCAGACUCCUACGGGAGGCAGCAGUGGGGAAUAUUGGGCAAUGGGCGCAAGCCUGACCCAGCAACGCCGCGUGAAGGAAGAAGGCUUUCGGGUUGUAAACUUCUUUUAAGAGGGAAGAGCAGAAGACGGUACCUCUAGAAUAAGCCACGGCUAACUACGUGCCAGCAGCCGCGGUAAUACGUAGGUGGCAAGCGUUGUCCGGAUUUACUGGGUGUAAAGGGCGUGCAGCCGGGUCUGCAAGUCAGAUGUGAAAUCCAUGGGCUCAACCCAUGAACUGCAUUUGAAACUGUAGAUCUUGAGUGUCGGAGGGGCAAUCGGAAUUCCUAGUGUAGCGGUGAAAUGCGUAGAUAUUAGGAGGAACACCAGUGGCGAAGGCGGAUUGCUGGACGAUAACUGACGGUGAGGCGCGAAAGUGUGGGGAGCAAACAGGAUUAGAUACCCUGGUAGUCCACACUGUAAACGAUGAAUACUAGGUGUGCGGGGACUGACCCCCUGCGUGCCGCAGUAAACACAAUAAGUAUUCCACCUGGGGAGUACGAUCGCAAGGUUGAAACUCAAAGGAAUUGACGGGGGCCCGCACAAGCGGUGGAUUAUGUGGUUUAAUUCGAAGCAACGCG